AGGACGAACGCUGGCGGCGCGCUUAAUACAUGCAAGUCGAGCGAGAACCAGGGCUUCGGCCCUGGGGACAGCGGCGAACGGGUGAGUAACACGUGGGUAAUCAACCCCCGACACCGGGAUAGCCCAGGGAAACUUGGAUUAAUACCGGAUGCUCCAUCUGGCUUUCGAGCCGGCUGGAAAAGGGUAGCUUCGGCCUCCGGUCGGGGACGAGCCCGCGGCGGAUUAGCUUGUUGGUGAGGUAAAGGCUCACCAAGGCGACGAUCCGUAGCUGGUCUGAGAGGAUGAUCAGCCUCACUGGGACUGAGACACGGCCCAGACUCCUACGGGAGGCAGCAGUGGGGAAUAUUGGACAAUGGGCGCAAGCCUGAUCCAGCCAUGCCGCGUGGAUGAUGAAGGCCUUAGGUGUAAAGUCCUUUCGACGGGAAGAUAAUGACGGUACCCGUAGAAGAACGCCCCGGCUAACUUCGUGCCAGCAGCCGC
RNAcentral lists this ribosomal RNA (480 nucleotides) under uncultured bacterium. RNAcentral describes it as "SSU rRNA". It matches the Rfam family "Bacterial small subunit ribosomal RNA", at positions 26 to 518 of the family's 1533-position model. The record is from RNAcentral.